AUAUUUGUAUGUGUUGAUGAGGUCCCCUCUCAGUCUUCUCUUCUUCAGGCUGAACAAGCCUAGCGCUCCCAGCCUUUCGGCUCUGGGGGCGAGGGAAAGGGCUGUUGUUCCUCAUCCCACUCCCUUGGAACCGGUGAAGCUCUGCCAUUGACUCCACUGGAAGCCGGAUCAAGUUCAAACUCUUCCAGAGUGUUACUCAAGCUACCUCCUGGCAGUCACCAACGUGCCUGAGCCUAGCAGGGAUUUAGUGGUGAUGUGCACUGGCCAACAUACCCACUUCCUAGCAGUGGGAAAAGAUUCACGUCCAUGUAUAUAUGUACUGUUAAGUACAUUGCUCUCUGGAGAGAGACAGUCUCCCUUGUGAGCUCCAGCUGCUCUUGUCCGGUUGCUAUUGUUAUUGCUCAGGCCAGCUGGCAGCUCAUGUGACUCAUGGUUGCUUCAAUAAAGAUUAAUUUCUUGCAGAAGGCUGUCAUUCCUUCUCUUUUCCUGCUGUGCAUAUGAGGCUGCCUGCAUUGAUCAGGGGGUUUGCGUCAUGGAGAGCCCUCAGUAAUUCUGUCAGUGCUGGGAGGAGAUAUUCCCCAGGCAGAUGGUGCCCGCCUGUCCCAGCAGCGUGCCGUAGCACCCGAGAGGGAGAGGAUGGCCUUGGUCCUUUGGAGGAAAAGGAGCUGCUCGUCAGCCUUGUCCUACCCUCAGCCAGCCACUGGGGCAGCAGGCAGGUACCUCGCAAGCAGUAAUGCAAGCAGGGGUAAGGAAAAAAGCUUAAGGAUGCAUUUAAGCAAUAAAGGCAGGAGUGUUUAUAGGAAAAAAACAUCUCUACAGUUUCACUUUUUUUGAGCACUAUGUAGACAGGUCUUGCCCACCCCUCUGUGUUGGCUGGACAACUGAUGAUGUUCUGCCCCAUCAAAAACCACUGGAGAUCCAGCACAUCAGCAGAGCCUAUGUUAUUGGUGGGGGUUACCUGCUUAAGCCUCAUCAACUAGUAGAAAAGAUCUCUGCUAAAGCUUCCCCACCAGGACUGCUAAAGCUUUAGGUGCCCCUCCUUCCUGGGUCAGUUUUUUAAUGUAAGGGGAUGAGGCAUACACAUGAUAAAGAAACCUGAAAGGCUAUCGUGUCCCCCUCCCCGGCUCUUGUUUCCCUUGAAUCGCUUGCAACCACUGAAACGUCAUCAGAAGCAAGCACCUUUCCAGCACUGCCCAUGUAGAUGUGCGUAGCUGCUGUUUUCACACCCGUGUAAUGAUUGCUGCUGCUUGCGGCAGGGAUGAGGACAUGACCUGCACCAAACCAUCUCAUAAGGUGAUAAUGCACCUGGAGAGUCAUCAUUUCUUUUUCCCAAUAAGCAGGAGACUGGAGGAGUGCAAUUUCUUGCCAACCAUGGGAAUUAAGGUCAUUUUUUUGGUAAAAAAUACUCCAAAAAACCAUAAUUAAAAAAAAAAAAAAAAAGCAAAGCUUUUUCUGUGUGUAUACACUGGCCAUCUCAUGAUCUUCAUUCCCAUUUCACCGCUGCCAGGGUUCCCCUGCAAGGAGCAGCACCUUUAAUGCGAGUGGGUGGCAGAGCAGUGCCCGGCCGGACGCGCUCUCCUUCCGGAGCUCGUGCUGUGUCUGGCGGCAGGGGCUCCUGCUGCCCUGCGAUGGCACCCCGUUGUCAUUUUCAGGAGCAGCAAAGCAGAUACCUUCGAUGACUCAGCUUUUAGAAACCUGUUGCAGAAAAGUGCCGCAUUACCAUUUUGGUCGUAGUCGUAGAAAUGGCAGCACCGGGGGCUGGCUGGCUGGAAGCUGCGAGGCAGGCAGGUGUCGGGUGGGUUUUUUUACACCUGUGCCCACAAAAAAUCCCUGUCCUGCAGUCAAUGUGCUUGCACUUACCAGUCCGUAAUUUGCUGCUUGCUAUGGGCGGGUUACAGCUCUUCUGCGACCAGAGCAAAACCCCAGGAACCUAUUUGUAAGCACCGACAAGAUUUACCCAGUGUUGAAAAGAGUAAGAGAGAGAUUUUGUUGGGUUAAGAGCAUGCAGUUGAGCAGUGGGGAUACAAAGCCAGCAGCCAGGCUAGGAAACACCUGCAGACCCGCUGAGCCUUCCCGGGGCUUGCACAGGCAGAAGCCAGCAGUUACAAGCAUGUCAACACUCCAACUCCAGUAGGAAAGAAAUCCCUAUUUAUGUAGGCAUAGGCAAGAACAAAAAAGAAAAUCAAAGAGAUACCAAAGGUGCAAAGUUAAAUAUUUCAUUGUGAAUUGGCUCCAAUUAGUUGUCAGUUAAGCUCCAGCAAUUAUCAAUUAGUUCUGCUAAGGCCAGCUGGGCAGUGGCAGAUUGGCCUCUAUGGGUUGUGCUCAUGUGUUACCCUUUUCCUUUUAUUUUAGACAACCCCCCCAGCUCUAACUAAGGGUCUGAGAAGAGGGAGCAACCUCAGGCCAGGCAAUUACCCACAGGUAAUACUGGGGAGCAUCAGUCUGUGCUAGCAGCUUGAAGCCUUUUGAGCUGCUCUCCAUCCUUCAUUGCCCACGCGCCGCUUGGGUCCUGCUCUGCCAGCGUGAGCAUGAAUCUCCCCAGAGGCUUUAUGUGGGGCUCACCGUGUGCCCGGGGGUGGCCCAACCACAGCUUGCUUACAGCCCAUGGGAGCCUUCCCAGUGCCUGCUCCGAGGGCAGCAGAUGCCGCUUUUUCUCAUGCGGAACUGCAGGUGAGCAGGGCGCAGCCUUGCGUAGCAGCUGAGGAUGCUCAGGGCUUCUGCAAAUCGGGUUUUUCAGUACCCUGAAAAAAACUUGAGGACCUCGGAGCACUUGUGAAAAGCCCAGGUUAAGCAAUUUCCUGACUCUCUAGAGGGAUUUGGUGGUGAGGACAGUGGGAAUCUUUCAGCCUUGUGGUGUGCUGGCUUGGCUCCAAAAUGCGUUGCUGUUUCCUGCCCUACUAACCGCGUGUCUGCCAGUUCCCACUGCUGACAAAGCCCAGCUUCCUCAUGCCACAGCCCCCUUGCUGCGCAGCUCCGGCUCGCGCCUGCAGCGAGCUCCUAGAGGAGACACUGCUGGGCGAGUCCUUCCAAAGCCUUGCAAGGCGGUAAGUUUGGGUGGACCUUUGCAGCACUGGGGUGGGAAGGAAGCCACCUCCUGCCAAGGUAAAGCUGCGUUUCUGAGCUGCAGACAUAGGAAAUGGUUUUUUGAAGAAACAGUUGAUAGACAUAGCUUUUUAUAACCAGGUGCAGAAGCAAUGCAUUUGCAAAAGCAGCUCUCCUCUAGAAACACAGCCAGAGGUGGUAGAUGCUCCACGCAGAUUCCCGCCAGCACAGCCGGAGGCGGUUCCUCUUCUGGGAGGCUGAGUGACCGGCAGUGAGCAUCAACCUCGUCUGCUGAGAGACGUAGCACCAGGUGGGACGGUGGGGGCGAGCACUGGAGCGAGGAGGGGGAGCCCCGGAGCUGCCUCGGAGGGUGUUUUGGAAAAACACAUGUGGUGCAUGCUUUGCAGUGACGUGCGGAAAACGGACUCCACAAUCUGUAAGAUUGUAAAGUAGGUAUGUUUAUUCAGCGCUGGGCAGCACGGGGGGUAGUCCCACCAAAGUCGUGCGCGCGUGUGUGGUAGCUUGCCUUGAAGUUCUACGACAGUGUUACAUAUACAUAAGAUUCCCAAAUACACCUAUACAUAUGCAUGACUUGUCCUUGCUUCGUAUUAAAAUUAGCCCCAAGAAGUCGUUUCCAUAAACUCCUCCCAACUGUGCUUGCACAGUGUCUCCUGGUGGUGGUCGUGGGGGUCAUGGGGGAUGAAGGCCGAUGAUUCCUCUUCGUCACCGCUAGUAACCCCUUGUUCUUGCGCAGACUCAGUUGCUCCUUGGCUCUUGUCCAAACUACAGGGUCGGUUUAGCUGGUUCUCAAGGCAACUUCUCGGUUCUUAUCAAGAACUUGUACAAUAGACAAUAGUGAGAAGAUGUUGCUUAAAACCGUGCUCUACUAGGAUCCCCUUUUUGGCAGCUUUCAGCCGGAGCUGCCAGGCCCGUAACUGGCCGCAGGCCUGAUGGGGAGGCUGCCCCACGCUCUGCCGGGCUGUCCCUCUCACCCCCAGAACAAAUCCAGCGCUAUCUUUAGUCCCCCAGCAUUUUAGGGGUCCGUCAAACAAAUUAAUGCCCGGGGCCAAUCUGCAUGUCUACCACUACCAGGGGGGCAUGAGGAAAAAACCAAAACAUCUCUUUAUCUGGAAGAGGUACAGGGCGGUCGCUGAGCUUGUGAGGAAUCUGCACAUCUUGGGAGAAAUACUUUCAGCCAAGCCCAGCGGUGCCCACCCACAGCUAAUAGCCUCCUGUCUACCAGAUGCUAUUCCCUUAGACUCCAGCAAGCAAAAAGGAAAGGUCCUUCCCUGCGUUUUGGCUGGGAUGAUGCAUGUCCCUGUGUCGCUGUCCCUGAGUCGCUCUCCCUGGAGACACGGGCAGCUGGCUGGCUGGGUUGUUUAUGUUAUCCCAAGGCAAAAUCCCCUCUCCCUCCCCUCCGGCAUCACUAAGUGCUAUUGUUUAACCCCCGUGUGCACCAGCUUGCUCACGGAUGGGCUCACUUUCUUUUUGGCCCCGUUACAUCAGCAAUAAGCUAUCCUAGUCUUUAUUCACCUACCGAUGAAUUAUACAUUGAUUAUACAACAGCAGCUCUCUGCAUGGAUGGGCUGGGCUCUCGCUCUCCCACGUGGCAUCACGCAAAGCGCAGCUCAGCCCAGCUGCGGCUCGGCCCUCCCUGAUGCCCUGAGGAAAAUGAACGUUCACUUUCCGGGCUCGCAAGCAGCAGAGCCUGAGCUGAGAAGACGGAGCGUCUGGGCUGGAUGGGGAAGCACGCUCGGGUUUGCUCUCCCUCUGCCACAGCUCCGGUGGGAGCUGACGCUGUCCUUCCCCACUGCCCCCUGCUUUCCCCUCCUCUCUAUAUAACCUGACCCAUCGCCAUAGACACGUUGACAUAAAUAUUUAAAGACGGCAGAGAGACAGACCCCGCAGACGGGAACCGUUUGCUGAGUUCAUUAGAAAGAGGAACUUCAGAUGCAGCUACAGGUCUCUGCUUGCCGCAUCCUGGCCCAAAGGCUGCGAGGCAAACGUAACCCCCCCGGGGUUAUCGGUGCUUCGGCUGAAUUUGCAGAGCUGGGCACAGGGAUUUUCGGAUGAGCAGCACCCACAGAAAACAUAUUCUGGAGAGGUCCCCUUAGAUAUGUGGAUGAGGUUCUUAAUAUUAUUUUUUCUACUCAAAAUGAAGGCGUUGGCUGGCUCCCCAGGGGCACAGGGGGGCCUCUCCUGAGGCGAUGGAGCCCUACUUUCCCACUGCCAUAGGCCAGCCUGUGCCCUGCCGCUUGCCCUUGCUCAGUCCCUGCCUUGAAAAACUCCAUUGUGGGGUGUUGGCAGCCUAGGAAAUUAUUCUUACAUGCUCUGGGACUAUUAGCCUCCUUUAGGAUAGAUUUCUGAGCUUCUUUUCAUGCAGCUCCAAAAUGUCCUAUUUAAAGAUUUUUGGUGAUGCUGCUGUUGGUUUGGGGUUUUUUUUACCACCACAGGUAAAUUGGAAAUCUAAGCUAUUUCUGUCAUAUUUCCCACAAGAAAAUAAGAUUAAGUGGUUAAAAGCUAACUAGGACUUCACCCGUAAAAUGACGUUCAUUUUAUUCCCACAGUUUGUCCAUCAUUUUUGCGCUGGCUGGGAGGAGGGCAGGGGGGUUGCCACGCAAACCCGAGCCACGCAGCCUGGAGUACCACGUCAGCGGCCAUCCCGCAGUCCCCAGCAGGUGAGGGACUCCCAUCUGCUCUCCCAAAUCUCCUGGAGACCCUGGGUGUUCGGAUGUUUAGAGCCUGCCUCAAUGCUCAUCGUUUCACACCCCUGGUCGCCAGCCCUCCAGGCGGAGGUGGGAGGUGAUGAGGAUGACGGUCUGUCCUCUCCUCUCAUCACUCUCCAUCGCUUUCUAUAAAACACAAGGGGUUUUAAGGUGGAGCUGCUGGAAGGCUGGCAGGCAUCUCCCCGGGAGAAGCAGGCUCGAAGUCCCGGGGACUGGGCUUGCCGAGUCCUGCUGGGAAGGGAUGGCCGACCAAAGCCGGGGCUGGGAGGUGGCUCAAGCCGCGUUGGCUCCAGCGUCCCCCGGUGAAUCAUACCCAUAGAGGUCAGCUGCACCAGAACCCGCCAGCAUGACGCUGGCUUUUAGAAAAACAGGUUCACA
This is a long non-coding RNA of Egretta garzetta (little egret), 6146 nucleotides long. RefSeq lists it as uncharacterized. The record is from RefSeq and is a predicted model, not a curated record. The transcript has 2 exons. Lineage: Eukaryota; Metazoa; Chordata; Aves; Pelecaniformes; Ardeidae.